Molecule: ribosomal RNA, 468 nt
Filed under: uncultured bacterium
Lineage: Bacteria
Description: partial 16S ribosomal RNA
Rfam family: Bacterial small subunit ribosomal RNA
Source: RNAcentral
GACGAACGCUGGCGGCGUGCUUAACACAUGCAAGUCGAACGGAAAGGCCCUGCUUUUGUGGGGUGCUCGAGUGGCGAACGGGGGAGUAACACGUGAGUAACCUGCCCCUGACUUUGGGAUAACUCCAGGAAACUGGGGAUAAUACCGGAUAGGAGCUCUUGCUGCACGGGGGGGGUUGGAAAGUGUCGGCGGUGGGGGCUGGACUCGCGGCUUAUGAGCUGGUUGGUGGGGUAGUUGCUUACCAAGUCUUUGAAGGCUAGCCUGCCUGAGAGGGUGAACGGCCACCUUGCGACUGCGAGACGGCCCAGACUCCAACGGGACGCAGCAGUCGGGAAUAUUGCACAAUGGGCGGAAGCCUGAUACAGCAGCGUCGCGUGCGUGAUGACCGCCUUCGGGUUGUAAACCGCUUUCGCCUGUGACGAAGCCUGCUUGACGGUAAUGGGUCAAGAAGCACCGGCUAACUACGUG